Molecule: ribosomal RNA, 785 nt
Filed under: Brachybacterium conglomeratum
Lineage: Bacteria; Bacillati; Actinomycetota; Actinomycetes; Micrococcales; Dermabacteraceae
Description: bacterial SSU rRNA
Rfam family: Bacterial small subunit ribosomal RNA
Source: RNAcentral
CGGCGUGCUUAACACAUGCAAGUCGAACGAUGACGACCGUGCUUGCACGGUCUGAUUAGUGGCGAACGGGUGAGUAACACGUGAGUAACCUGCCCUCCACUUCGGGAUAACCUCGGGAAAUCGUGGCUAAUACCGGAUAUGAGCACUCAUCGCAUGGUGGGUGCUGGAAAGAUUUAUCGGUGGGGGAUGGACUCGCGGCCUAUCAGUUUGUUGGUGAGGUGAUGGCUCACCAAGACGAUGACGGGUAGCCGGCCUGAGAGGGCGACCGGCCACACUGGGACUGAGACACGGCCCAGACUCCUACGGGAGGCAGCAGUGGGGAAUAUUGCACAAUGGGCGAAAGCCUGAUGCAGCGACGCCGCGUGAGGGAUGACGGCCUUCGGGUUGUAAACCUCUUUCAGUAGGGAAGAAGCGAAAGUGACGGUACCUGCAGAAGAAGCGCCGGCUAACUACGUGCCAGCAGCCGCGGUAAUACGUAGGGCGCAAGCGUUGUCCGGAAUUAUUGGGCGUAAAGAGCUUGUAGGUGGCUUGUCGCGUCUGCCGUGAAAACCCGAGGCUCAACCUCGGGCGUGCGGUGGGUACGGGCAGGCUAGAGUGUGGUAGGGGAGACUGGAACUCCUGGUGUAGCGGUGAAAUGCGCAGAUAUCAGGAAGAACACCGAUGGCGAAGGCAGGUCUCUGGGCCAUUACUGACACUGAGAAGCGAAAGCAUGGGUAGCGAACAGGAUUAGAUACCCUGGUAGUCCAUGCCGUAAACGUUGGGCACUAGGUGUGGGGGACAUUCCA